GUUCAGUGUCCCAUUUGG
RNAcentral lists this small nuclear RNA (18 nucleotides) under Arabidopsis thaliana (thale cress). RNAcentral describes it as "snRNA_13232". Lineage: Eukaryota; Viridiplantae; Streptophyta; Magnoliopsida; Brassicales; Brassicaceae. The record is from RNAcentral.